CGGUACCAAGCUUCGCAACCUGCAAACAUACGUUAAUAUAAUAUAGAGCCAUAAUAUAAGUUCAGUGGGUACCAAUCCACAAGUCCUUGGAUCAUCUCCACAACGUACAUAUCCCAAAAGUCUAGUCACGCAGGACUUCAUAGUACUUAAAAGUUAUACAGUAUUUAUUUAAAUAUAAUAGCUAGCUACGAGGUUCAGGUGCAUCCUUGGAAAUUGCUCCCGCCAUGUGCAGGCUCCUUUCCUUUUCUCUGCCUCGAUUGUAGGCUCGGGUCAUCAUCCUCAUUCUUAACUGUUGAGUAAAAAUAUACAAUGGCAAGAAGUGAGCUCUUAAUGGCUCAGCAAGUAAAAUCUGUCACAGGAUUUUCACAAGACAUGGUACAGACAAUAUAUUCAAUAUAUCCGAAUUAAUUUAAACAAUGAAACACACAUUCAGAAAGAUCUCAAUAAAUCCACAUAUCUCGAUAUGAAAAUCCAAAAAGAACUUUAAUUACUGAGAACUGGUCAAAUCCGCCCCGAUACAGCAGCGAUGCGAUCAACUACCGCCGAGUACCGUUCUCCUGCGCAACUUAUCCUCACCCGAUCACGGCUCGAGAUAAACACGCCCUAUCCUCUUUAGCUAGCAUAACGAAUAUCUCUGAGGCCAUCGUCGAACUCUUCCGACGUUCCCCGUAUUCGUAAAAGUCCUCACUUGGGACCAAAAUCUCAUUCAUAAAUAAACACCGUGGAUCACAAGCCACGUUGACCAGUGAGAAUAACAUCCUCCGGAUUUAAGACUUUCGAAUAAAAUUAAAUGAUGAAAGUGAUCACAAAAUCCUAGAUUCGAACAAGGAAUCUAGCGGGUCUCGUUCAAUAGGGGCGAAGGUAGUCGAUAUGAACAAUAUAUCGACCAUUGAAUUAAUUAAAGUGAUUAUUUCCGAAGAAGGGAAAAUAAUCCUAAUUUAUAUAAUAAAUAAAUGGUUGCUCCCGAACAAAGAGAAACAACCUUAUUUACGCAAAAUUCUGAUUUCUGAUUCUAGUUGCUCAUAAGGAAUAAUGAAUAAAAUAUAAGCUAAGUCGGGCAGAAAUCAUGAAUAAUAAAAUUAUAAAUGUACAAAAAUAAUUCAACAAAAAUAAUAAAGAGAAUAUAGGGUAAGAAGUACUUGCCUCGAUACCGCUUAAAUAGUUUACAAUUUCCUGGCCCACCUUUGCCAAAAGAAAUUUAUGCAGGAAU
This 1210-nucleotide long non-coding RNA is filed under the name Daucus carota (carrot). RNAcentral describes it as "long non-coding RNA (DCAR_LNC007055)". Lineage: Eukaryota; Viridiplantae; Streptophyta; Magnoliopsida; Apiales; Apiaceae. The record is from RNAcentral.